Molecule: RNA transcript, 3175 nt
Organism: Panicum hallii
Lineage: Eukaryota; Viridiplantae; Streptophyta; Magnoliopsida; Poales; Poaceae
Exons: 3
Source: RefSeq, a predicted model, not a curated record
UGAAAUAUUGAUUAAUAGUAUGAGCUAGGACAGGUAGGUAGUAUAGGGUAGCACAGAGGUAAUAUGGGAAGAUGAUUAUAGAUACACAUUCAUUUAUUUUAAUUUUCUUUUAUCUUUCUUUUCUUUCAUUUCUUCUCUACGAGUACUUCGCAGACUGUUUGGCUCGGCGCCUAGGGUUUUCGUGGCCGGCGAGGAGUCCUUCGCUACCCGCCGUGGAGGCGACUCGUGCCACGCCCUAAGCUCGGCCCCUGGGAGGAGGGCGGGCAAUGGCUCAGCCCCACGGCCGACGCUCGCCGCGGAGAAGGGAUCCGUGGCGGAUCGGCCCCCCGUCUGUCGCUCGCCGCCGGGGAGGCGGCGCAUCUCGCACCUGACGCAAACCCAUGGGAGGAUGGUAGGCAGCGGCUCGGCUCCGCUGGGGAGUCGGCCUGCGCACGCCCCGCAGCUCGCCACAGGGGAAUGGCAUCAGGCCUCGCUCGGCCGUCAACUCCUUGGAGGCGGCGACCCCCGCGACCCGUGGCCUCCGGCGGGAAUGGCGGCGCUCGGCUCGCGGAUCCGUGAAGUCAGCCCCGCACGCCGCCGCCUCUCGCCGCCGAGUGAGGGUGAGGGUGAGUGCGAGAUCCAGAUCCGGGGCCCCAAUCCACGGCUCGCGCAGGCGUCGUACCGCGAGUUCCGCGCCGCCGGCGAGAGCGUGCGCCGCCACGACGUCCAUUCCUCCUACGCCACCGCGGCAAGCUGCAGGUGGAGCGGCGGCGCUGGCCCCCUCGACGGGUCGAUCGCGGCCACGUGCGCGCGCGCCACCACGCUGUCGCUUCCUCCUCCGCCACCGCGGCGAGCAGCAGCGGGAGAGGCAUUGGACCCCGCCUGCUCACAAGCCUCUGCUUCCCCGUCGUCUUCCUCUCCUCUUCUCCAACCGUUCGACCCCGCAAGGUCUUAUAAAAUCGAUCGUGGAGACAGAUAAUUGAGCAGGCAUGCUACUAUUUAAGGUGCAGAAAUACAGGGUACAGAUAAUUGGUUGGUCGUUUUCUUUUCUCUCAUGCAUAUCCCUUUAUGUAGGCAUGCUGAUUGAGUGAUCAUGCACAGCAUGUGUGGAUCCUGAUAAUUGUAUAGGAGUGGAUUUAGCAUUCUAGCCUUGGCACUGUUGGUGGUUGCCAUGAUGAAUUGUUGUUCUUUAGAGCGGUCACGAUGAAUUAUUGCUACCUGAUGGGGAAAAGGGGAUCAAUACCAUCAGUUACUAUGUGAUUUGCAUUGUGUUAUGAGUGAUUGCCUUGUGACUAGUAGCUACUUUUGGUAAGUAUCAAACAAUUUUGUGACUCUCGGGUUCCUAUUUGUUUAGAGGUAGUAAAUUGCUAAAGAUUUUAACUUGUUGCAAGGUGCUGCUUAUUUUUGGAUUUAUUUUGUGACAAUAUUGUUUGUCUAAGCUUGAUCAGAGAAAAUGUGAUGAUUGGAUAUUUCUUUGGAUUUUCAGUAAUAAUAGAAGCGAUGAUGUAGUUCACGAGAAAUUAGUUGAGCUUAUAAAUGCGCAUGAAAAUUUAUUCGAGCAUGUAGCAGAGGGUAGGCUGUUAGUAUGGCAUUUACAUGUUGCAUGAUCUACUCCUGCAGGCUGAUUGGCUAAUAUUUUAGAAUUUCAUUUGUUUGGGAUAGCUGUAGGGAACUUAUCUGAUAUUGCACUUGCUGGUUUUGCAUGUGAGCAAGAUUCUCGAUGACUAGAUGAACUGUGACAUUAUAAAGAUUGCUGGACUUGUAAGAAUAAAGGCUGCUGGAAAAUGUGAGUGAGUGACACCACAUUAUGUAGGAAAAGACUAAGGCUCAUAAAGUAUGUACCUUGUGAGGUGCUAUCCGUCGGAAGUGGUUCAUCAGGGAUCACAAUAUCUUGGGUAUCUUCUCUCUCCUUGUUGCCCUAGCUGAAUUUAGAUAAACAAUUCUGUUAUGAUCAGUAUGUAUCUGUUGGCAUACCUGCAAAAGAACUAGGUUCCCUUUAAGAUUUGCUGCCUUUGCCACUCUGUAUUCCCUUAUGCUUGCGAUCAAGAAAUUGAAAGCGAGGCUGGUCCAGUUGAGGUUCUUGAUACUUUCCACGUUUUCAAUAAGGCCAAGAUAAUCCUACUUGACAUAUGGCUGUAGUGUUGGGCACAAGUAGAAACCAAUGGUGUACAGAACAAAUAUGCGAAUGAAGUCAUCACCAUAUGAGCUGUUUUUGUUGAAAAAUUCCCUCAACGAUUUUGAAGAUAUUUUAGUAUCAUCUUUCCAUGUGUAUUUUUGGAACAGACCAGGAACAUGCUUUUGUGGAGGUUCCUUUAUUUUAUCGCCUUGGGAUGGAAGGCCCAGUAUAUGCUGACCAUCUUUCAUACUCAACUUGAGCCUCUUUCCAUUUAUGAUGAACUCUUCAGUGUCAAGGUCGAAACAGCAGGCAAUGUCCUUGCAUAGGUCUCUUCUAAUCUCUAGUUCUUUCAACUUUAGUAAAGAACCAAAACCUGCUGCAGUAAUGGCAUCCUUCUGAUCUUGACUGAACCCAUUCGUUAUCUCGACUAGUAUUUUCUGUGAGCAUUUACAUGUUCCCUGCAUUAUAAAAAGAUUUUGAAUCACAUCUUAUAUUUGUGAAGAAAAAGAAAGCUUCCUUAGCGGUACUACCUUAUCUACUAUGUUGGUCAUUUGGAGGGAAAGCAAAACCGUCCAAUUUUGACUGUUUUCUGAUUCAGAAUAGUAGAUUAUGAAUUUAUGUUAUGUCCAACAAUAAUGAUGAUUUUUUUCGAUAGGUGCCAUGCAAGAGAUUUACUAGCCCAAAGGAGCAUCCUCCAUUGGAUUGCAGGACUCCAAAGUGUUUAUUGUACUUCAUUCCAAUAAUUAAAUUAAUCAUUGCACUGAAGAGAAAUUUAACAUUAUUCAGUAGUUGAUUAUUAUUUUCUGUAACCGAAGUUAUCUGCAAGAAUUGGGAUUUCUUUAACAAGGUAUUAUGGUGAAAAGAAGACUGACAUGGCCUCUUGAGUUGUUUUCCUUCUUCAACUGGCUUGGCGGCUCAAACAUACUGGUGUUUGGUGUAGUCUGCACAUGUCGAGGCUGUGAUUUUUUUGCCCUCUAAUUUUGUCUAUUCAAACUUUGCAGGAAUUCAUAAAUAUGGUUGUUGUAAUGAGAUGUAAAAGUAUACUUACAGUGGAUGACUAGUAUUAUGAACUUUUGCUUG